UACGUAGGGUGCGAGCGUUAAUCGGAAUUACUGGGCGUAAAGUGUGCGCAGGCGGCCGCGCAAGUCGAGUGUGAAAGCCCCGGGCUUAACUUGGGAAUUACGCUCGAAACUACGUGGCUGGAGUGUGGCAGAGGAAGGUGGAAUUCCAGGUGUAGCGGUGAAAUGCGUAGAGAUCUGGAGGAACACCGAUGGCGAAGGCAGCCUUCUGGGCCAACACUGACGCUCAUGCACGAAAGCGUGGGGAGCAAACAGG
RNAcentral lists this ribosomal RNA (253 nucleotides) under uncultured bacterium. Its description in RNAcentral is "partial 16S ribosomal RNA". It matches the Rfam family "Bacterial small subunit ribosomal RNA", at positions 524 to 776 of the family's 1533-position model. The record is from RNAcentral.